CGGACGUGGGUAACCUGCCUCAUACAGGGGGAUAGCAGCUGGAAACGGCUGAUAAAACCGCAUAAGCGCACAGCAUCGCAUGAUGCAGUGUGAAAAACUCCGGUGGUAUGAGAUGGACCCGCGUCUGAUUAGCUGGUUGGUGAGGUAACGGCCCACCAAGGCGACGAUCAGUAGCCGGCCUGAGAGGGUGACCGGCCACAUUGGGACUGAGACACGGCCCAA
This 222-nucleotide ribosomal RNA is filed under the name uncultured bacterium. RNAcentral's name for it is "partial 16S ribosomal RNA". It matches the Rfam family "Bacterial small subunit ribosomal RNA", at positions 112 to 334 of the family's 1533-position model. The record is from RNAcentral.